CCAGCACCACCUCCAUCAUUGAGGCCACCUGUGUAGGUCAACUAAAGCAGCUUUACCGAAGUCAGAAGCUCCCAGUGUCUCCUAAGACAGCCAGGCCAUCAUUUGUUCGUAAGCAUGGUCAAAGGGAGGAGGUCCAGAGCAAGCUGUGCAAGAACCACAAGACUGGCAAACAGCUUCAACCCCAAGGUCAUCACCAUGUUGAACUCUAAUGCCACA
Archocentrus centrarchus (flier cichlid) is the source of this 216-nucleotide long non-coding RNA. RefSeq lists it as uncharacterized. Lineage: Eukaryota; Metazoa; Chordata; Actinopteri; Cichliformes; Cichlidae. The record is from RefSeq and is a predicted model, not a curated record. The transcript has 3 exons.